CGACCCCAGGUCAGGCGGGAUCACCCGCUGAGUUUAAGCAUAUCAA
RNAcentral lists this ribosomal RNA (46 nucleotides) under Valeriana hardwickii. Its description in RNAcentral is "partial 28S ribosomal RNA". The record is from RNAcentral. Lineage: Eukaryota; Viridiplantae; Streptophyta; Magnoliopsida; Dipsacales; Caprifoliaceae.